Molecule: ribosomal RNA, 566 nt
Filed under: uncultured bacterium
Lineage: Bacteria
Description: partial 16S ribosomal RNA
Rfam family: Bacterial small subunit ribosomal RNA
Source: RNAcentral
UGGGGAAUUUUGGACAAUGGGCGAAAGCCUGAUCCAGCAAUGCCGCGUGUGUGAAGAAGGCCUUCGGGUUGUAAAGCACUUUUGUCCGGAAAGAAAUCCUUGGCUCUAAUACAGUCGGGGGAUGACGGUACCGGAAGAAUAAGCACCGGCUAACUACGUGCCAGCAGCCGCGGUAAUACGUAGGGUGCAAGCGUUAAUCGGAACUACUGGGCGUAAAGCGUGCGCAGGCGGUUUUGUAAGACGGAUGUGAAAUCCCCGGGCUUAACCUGGGAACUGCAUUCGUGACUGCAAGGCUAGAGUAUGGCAGAGGGGGGUAGAAUUCCACGUGUAGCAGUGAAAUGCGUAGAGAUGUGGAGGAAUACCGAUGGCGAAGGCAGCCCCCUGGGCCAAUACUGACGCUCAUGCACGAAAGCGUGGGGAGCAAACAGGAUUAGAUACCCUGGUAGUCCACGCCCUAAACGAUGUCAACUAGCUGUUGGGGAUUCAUUUCCUUAGUAACGUAGCUAACGCGUGAAGUUGACCGCCUGGGGAGUACGGUCGCAAGAUUAAAACUCAAAGGAAUUGAC